UUUGUUUUAGUAUAAUUUAUUACAUAAGCUUUUCGUGCUUAAGAUAAUUUUAUAAUUAAACAAAG
Molecule: transfer RNA, 65 nt
Filed under: Mesocestoides corti
Lineage: Eukaryota; Metazoa; Platyhelminthes; Cestoda; Cyclophyllidea; Mesocestoididae
Also listed under: 1 other name
Description: tRNA-Glu
Source: RNAcentral